UGUCUAUGGUUAUAUAUUAUCCAUGCUUCUGAGAGAAAUCCAUGAAGCAUAGAAGGAAAAAAAUGUAGACUUCCUUGAAAAAAUGACA
Molecule: small nucleolar RNA, 88 nt
Filed under: Nelumbo nucifera (sacred lotus)
Lineage: Eukaryota; Viridiplantae; Streptophyta; Magnoliopsida; Proteales; Nelumbonaceae
Source: RNAcentral